Molecule: long non-coding RNA, 3496 nt
Filed under: Homo sapiens (human)
Lineage: Eukaryota; Metazoa; Chordata; Mammalia; Primates; Hominidae
Description: HSALNT0013023
Source: RNAcentral
CAGUGAGCCAAGAUCGUGCCAUUGUGCUCCAGCCUGGACAACAGUGUGAGACUCUGUCUCAAAAAAAAAAAAAAAAAUUAUCUCUUGAGUGACAGCCCCCUCCAGCUACACUUCCUCCUUUCUACACCCACUUUUGCAACAAACUCAAAAGAAUUGUCUAUAUUCACUGAUUACAUUUCCUCCUGUUUUCUUUAAACCUUAGUAGUCAGCUGUCACCCUACCCCGGUCCAUUGAAAUUGUUCUUAUCAAGCUCAUCACUGACCUCCAUGUUACUAGUCCAAUGAUCAAUUCUCACUCCUCAUCUUGCUCAACCUCUCAGCAGCCUUUGAUGCAGCUGAAAUAACUGACACUUCUUGAAAUGUUUCCUUCACUUGACUCUCAGGAGUCUAUACAAUCCUGGUUUCCUGCUAUCUCACAGGCCGCACAGUUGCUGUCUCCUUCCGCUGAUUAUAACCUGCUCUAAUCCCCAGGGUUCCAUUCUCUGCUCUCUUUUCCUUUGUAAAUAUGAAUCUCUUCCUUGAACUUGAGAUAUAUAGAUAGAUAAAUUAUAAAUUGAUAGGCAGAUAGAUAUCAUAUUAAUCAAACUUAAUCAAAAUUAAACUUCCUAUCCUCUUUCCCAGACCCACGUUGCCACCACUGCCUUCCUCAUAUCAGUUAGUGGCAACGAUAUUCUUACCAUUGCUAAGGUUCAAAACCUUGGUAUCACCCUUGAGGAAUCUUUCCCUUUCACUCUACAUCUAAUCUAUUAGCAAAUGUUGUCUCUUCCACCUUCAUAAUACAUCCAAAAUCCAGUCACUUCUCAACACCUCCAUUGCUACAAUCAUCUGGUCCAGGCCACCAUCAUCUCUCUCCUGGACUUUUUCCUCCAAACUAGUCUCUUUAAUCCCACCGUUGACUCUCUGCAUUUAUUCUCAAACAGUAACCAGGGCAAUCUGCUAAAAUGCAAAUCAGAUAAUGUCACUCCUUCCCAUCUUCAUCAGAAUAAAAGCCCACGUCUUUCCAAAAGCUCGUAAGAGCCUGUAUAAUCUGGGUCUCUGUUUCUUUCUCCAUCUCAUCCUAGUUCUCUCUGCCUUCUCACUCUGCUCUUUCCAUAGUGACUUCUGGCUGACCUAGAACACACCAGGUAUGUUCUACUUCAGAUAUGUGUCUGGCUGCUCUCUCAUAUCCCAAGAUUUUUGCACAAAUGUCACCUUCUCGAUGAGGCUUUCCCUGAUCAUCCGGUUUAAAAUUGCUUUUUGCCCCAUGCCCCCUUUCCUUGCCUCAUUGUCUCUGUAACACUUGCCACCAUCUGAUACGCUAUGUAGUGUACCUUUCGUUUGCUGUCUAGAGUGUAAACUCCAUGAGGCAGGGUCUUUUGUCUGCUUUGUUCACUGUUAUACCCCUAAAACCUGGAUCAGUGCCUGGCCUAAAAUAGGAACUCAGUGAACAUUUGCUGAAUGAAUGAAUGAAUGAAUGAAUGAAUGAACUAGCAGUGAUUGAAAAAGACUCAACAGCCUACUCAGUGCUUUAAAAAUAUGCCACUAAUUACAGGCCCAGAAAGAAAAUUAGCCGUAAGCAUUUCUUUUCUGUUCCCAUUAGAACCUCUAAUGAGAGUGCACGGUUGUUAUUAUUUCAAAAGCAACAGCUUUCCAGUGUUUAACAAUGUGCUAAAUGCUUUUGCUGUUUGUUUCCAUUCCUUUUUCCCUAAUGGGUAAGGGGAUUCGAUGGCUGAUUUCCCCACUCUAAUCACCAUGGGGAGGCUGGUUUUCCUCAUGGCACUUGGCUUCUCCUCUCCUCAGAUUCAGCCAGCACUUAGUCAGUUGAUAAAAUCUUUGAGCACCUACUGUGUACUGUGUGUAGGGUUCUCUCUUUGAAUCAUAAGUCUAUUGCGCACCAUGAAACAUAAACCAAAUGUUGGUGAUGCAGUCCCAGUGAUCUCACUCCGAGGAAUUUUUGUAGCCAGCGUCCCCAGUGCUAAAGCAUGCCCCAUCUCUGCCAGAAGAUCUUUGAUGCCACAAGGGGCAAUACAGUGCUUCCCAGACUCUUCUGCAGAACUCUGUAUCAGUGUCAAAACAUUCUAGGCCCUCCUUACAUGAAAAUGGUCACUUAUCUAGUGAUGGAGGCUACAGAUGGUGCUUACUGUGCAUUUGGAUUCACAGACUGCUUACAAUAACUGAAACUGUUGGUGUCCACAGGCCCUGAAACGCUGAUGUCACUGGAAAGUGCAUUGUUCUUAGAGUUCAAAGACCCAAUUGCACUCUUGGUUCUGCCGCCUAACUGGCUGUGCCUCCUUAGGCAAGUUACUCCAUCUUCAAAGGGAUGAAAUUAUUGAGCUCCUGUUACCUGACAGACAUGAACUGUCCUCAGGGAACCCAAAGAUUCAGGAAAAAAAAAUGGUGCCUGGGCUUAAGGAUGUCACACACCAGUAGAAGCAGGCAGAUGAUCAACGGCAUGCAGCUGGGGAAUACAGAGACACAGAAAAAGCCCUGAAAACCCUCAGAAGUGGGAUGGAUUAAUCUUUUCCUGAAGAAUCAUUGGCUCCAAUGAAGCAGGGAAUGAACACAAUGCACCAGAGCUACCCAGGGGGCCCUGGGCACCUCAGCAAGGCCUUCUCCUGGCCUAGGACCUUGGAGUGGGAUCACAUGAGAUUCCAAGAGAUUCUCACCAUGGCCCCCUCAAAGGGAGCCUCUCAUUUGUCUUUUGAAUGCUCAGCUAUUCAACUAAAAGUAUAUUAAAAAUGCCCGCUUUGGAUCUGAUUCAAAAUAAUCUAGCCAGAUGGGAGAGUUGUAGAUGAAACAGAUUGGCCAUAAGUUAAUCAUUAUUGAAUCUGAGUGAUGGCUGCAUGUGGGGAGCCAUUAUUAUAUUCUCUGUUCUUUUGCAUAUUUUUGAAAUUUCCCAUAAAUAAAAGUUUUAAAAGGUUGCAUAUGAAUAUAAUCUGGUAUAAUUUUUCUGGGGAAUAAUUUAGUAUUAUAUAUUCAAAAGUCUUUAAAAUGUGCAAAUCCUGUGACUCAGAACUUCUACUUCUAGGAAUUUACUCUUAGGAAAUAAUCAUGAAUGGGUGAAAAGAUUUAUCUACAGGGAUGUUAAUGACAGUCUUGUUUAUAAUAGGGGAAGAAAAGAAAAGUGUUCAAUAAUGAGGACUGGUCAAAUAAAUGUUGGCAUCUAUUAUGAUAGACCAUUAUGGAGCCAUUAAAAUAAUCUUGGGUCUGGUGAUGGUGAAGAGAAAUGUCAUUUCACACACUAUUGAUGGGAAUAAAUUUAAUAACUGCUUUGCAAAGUGAGUUGGUAUUAUCGAUCCUUGUUUAAAAUGCUUACUUUGGCCCAGCAAUUACAUUAUUAAGAAUUUUUCCCAUUGACAGACAAAAAUGUAUAUACUGGGAUAACUGCAGCAUUCUUUAUAGUAGGAAAAAAUGAAAACAAUAUAAAUGUUCAACAAAUAAAGAUAAGUUGAAUAAAUUGUGGUUAACCAUACAAUGGAAUACUCGAAGGCAUUGUUUGUAUGUUAUAAUAAUUAUAC